CAUGUAGGCGGUUUUUUAAGUCUGGAGUGAAAAUGCGGGGCUCAACCCCGUAUGGCUCUGGAUACUGGAAGACUUGAGUGCAGGAGAGGAAAGGGGAAUUCCCAGUGUAGCGGUGAAAUGCGUAGAUAUUGGGAGGAACACCAGUGGCGAAGGCGCCUUUCUGGACUGUGCCUGACGCUGAGAUGCGAAAGCCAGGGUAGCGAACG
This 206-nucleotide ribosomal RNA is filed under the name uncultured bacterium. RNAcentral describes it as "partial 16S ribosomal RNA". It matches the Rfam family "Bacterial small subunit ribosomal RNA", at positions 568 to 774 of the family's 1533-position model. The record is from RNAcentral.